This 486-nucleotide ribosomal RNA is filed under the name uncultured bacterium. RNAcentral's name for it is "partial 16S ribosomal RNA". It matches the Rfam family "Bacterial small subunit ribosomal RNA", at positions 899 to 1397 of the family's 1533-position model. The record is from RNAcentral.
ACUCAAAUGAAUUGACGGGGGCUCGCACAAGCGGUGGAUCAUGGGGCUUAAUUCGUCGGUAAGCGAGGAACCUUACCAAGGCUAGAAACUAUACUGCACGCCUAGUGAAAGCUAGGAAGCCUUCGAGGGUGUAUAGCAGGUGAUGCAUGGCCGUCGUCAGUUCGUGGCUUGAGCUGUUCCCUUAAGUGGGGAAACGAACGCAACCCUCGUUGCCUGUUACAAGUGUCAGGCGAGACUGCUCCCUCACGGGAGAGGAAGGUGAGGAUGACGCCAGGUCAGCAUGUCCCUAGAUGCCUUGGGCUGCACCCGUGAUACAAUGGGUAGUACAACGAGACGCAAUGUCGCGAGACGGAGCAAAUCUUUAUAAAACUACCCUCAAUUCGGAUUGAAGUCUGCAACUCGACCUCAUGAAGACGGAAUCGCUAGUAAUCGUGGAUCAGCAUCGCCACGGUGAAUACGUUCCCGAGCCUUGCACACACCGCCCGU